This is a small nuclear RNA of Oryctolagus cuniculus (rabbit), 163 nucleotides long. Its record names the gene U1. It matches the Rfam family "U1 spliceosomal RNA". From Rfam's summary of the family: U1 is a small nuclear RNA (snRNA) component of the spliceosome (involved in pre-mRNA splicing). Its 5' end forms complementary base pairs with the 5' splice junction, thus defining the 5' donor site of an intron. NCBI's taxonomy places the organism in Eukaryota, Metazoa, Chordata, Mammalia, Lagomorpha, Leporidae. The record is from Ensembl.
GUACUUACCUGGCAGGGGAGACACCAUGAGCAUGAAUGCGGUUUUCCCAGGGCGAGGCUUAUCCGUUGCACUCUGAUGUGCUGACCCUUGCUAUUUCCCCAAAUGUGGGAAACUCGACUGCAUAAUUUGUGGUAGCGAGGGACUGUGUUCACACUUUUCCCUG